RNAcentral lists this non-coding RNA (167 nucleotides) under uncultured Thomasclavelia sp. Its description in RNAcentral is "Lysine riboswitch". It matches the Rfam family "Lysine riboswitch aptamer". From Rfam's summary of the family: Riboswitches are metabolite binding domains within certain messenger RNAs that serve as precision sensors for their corresponding targets. Allosteric rearrangement of mRNA structure is mediated by ligand binding, and this results in modulation of gene expression. Lineage: Bacteria; Bacillati; Bacillota; Erysipelotrichia; Erysipelotrichales; Coprobacillaceae. The record is from RNAcentral.
UAGAUAGAGGCGCGAAAUGUUAAGAAACUAAUAUUGAUGAUGCUGCAACUAUGAUGUUAGUAGAGGGGCUUUCGCCGAAGGGGUAAAUAAUUGCAGUUAUUUAUUCUCUGGGUUUAUAGAGAACAUCUAUAAGACUGUCAUUAUCUUUUGAUAAUGGUGAGCUAUCA